Molecule: ribosomal RNA, 254 nt
Filed under: uncultured bacterium
Lineage: Bacteria
Description: partial 16S ribosomal RNA
Rfam family: Bacterial small subunit ribosomal RNA
Source: RNAcentral
UACGUAGGGGCCUAGCGUUGUCCGGAUUUAUUGGGCGUAAAGAGCUCGUAGGCGGCUUGGCUAGUCAGGUGUGAAAUCUCCACGCUCAACGUGGAGGGGCCACCUGAUACUGCCAUGACUUGAGUCCGGUAGGGGAGUGUGGAAUUCCCGGUGUAGCGGUGAAAUGCGCAGAUAUCGGGAGGAACACCCGUAGCGAAGGCGGCACUCUGGGCCGAGACUGACGCUGAGGAGCGAAAGCGUGGGGAGCAAACAGG